Doryrhamphus excisus (bluestripe pipefish) is the source of this 425-nucleotide non-coding RNA. NCBI's taxonomy places the organism in Eukaryota, Metazoa, Chordata, Actinopteri, Syngnathiformes, Syngnathidae. The record is from RefSeq and is a predicted model, not a curated record.
GAUUGUCUUCAAGGGUCAGGAGGUUGAAGGUUGGAUAGUUGACUUUGGGCCUGCAGAGAGAGUAACACGUCCUGCGCCGGCAAUGUGCUCAAGCCUCUGAGGACCAACGUGGUCGGGAACGAGGCAGCCGCGGUGAGAUUGGGUUUAUAUCUCUCAGAGUGGCUGCAGGGCAAUUCAUGAAGAGAUGUUCUUGUCAAAGAUGGGAGCACAAAUGGAGAUAUUGAGGAAUAGUUACCUCAGGGUGAAGGGCCUCCAUGAAUGGCCGUGGGGCAGCAUCUUGGCGAGGCCAAAAGGCUGCUGUUCUCCCUGUUGGUGCACAUGGUUGUGUCUUAGUGGACGGAAGACAUUUUUCUCCAACACGCCAUCUGAAAUAAUAAAGUAUGUGUUUUGAUACCUUUAAUACAGUAUUGUCUCAUACAUAUUGC